RNAcentral lists this long non-coding RNA (1519 nucleotides) under Macaca fascicularis (crab-eating macaque). Its description in RNAcentral is "lncRNA (ENSMFAG00000055634.1)". Lineage: Eukaryota; Metazoa; Chordata; Mammalia; Primates; Cercopithecidae. The record is from RNAcentral.
UUUUUAUUUUUUUAUUUUAUUUUUUUGGUAAAGACAGGGUCUCACUAUGUUGCCCAGGCUGGUCUUGAACUCCUGAGCUCAAGGGAUCCUUCCACCUUGGCCUUCCAAAGUGCUGGGAUUACAUGGGUGAGCCACCAUGCCUGACCAUUAUACAACUUUUUAUCUCACAUAGCUCCUGGUACCUAGCAACACUCAGUAUGUACCAGUAUGUACAUGUAGAAUGUACAUGUAGUGUGACUUCCCAUUCGGUUUACUGUAUACCACAUACAUUCUCUUUCUGUGAACUUAUUGGUCACAGAAAAAAUAGACCUAGAAGAGAUUUUAUAAAAUUGGAUAGAGUUCACACACACACACAUGCAUGCAUACAUACCACACACACAAACUGCUCUUUGGGUGUAAUAGAACCAAAGCUAAGAAGACAGCAGAACCUUGUAAAUUGUAUCCCUGAAUUAAGAAUGAUAAUGUUCUCAAGUGUACAACUUCCUAAACACACCGCACAUACUCACUUCCCAAGGGUAAAGAGGGCACUGUGCAUGCAGGCAGCCCACCCUAAGGGAAGAAACUUGGGAAAGCGACGCAAGACACCGGAGGUAGGCCAGCCUAUAAAGUCCUAGGAUCAUGGUUAAACCGGGCACUUGUUCUUCAAAUGACCCACUUGGAUCUCUUCGAAGUGCGCUUUCCUUUCUUUCCUGCUCUAAAGCUUUUUAAUAAACUUCCACUCGUGCUCUGAAAAGAAAAAUAAUGUUCUGAUUAAACAAGUAAUAUUCCAAAUCUGAAGACUAGUAUCAAGCUAUAUUUCAAAAACCAAUCACCCGAUAAAAGCCCUGGCAGUGACAAGUGAGGAUAAUAGCACGGAUUUUGGCCUCUGCAUGCUGCACACAUUGUUCUCACUGGAAAGCCAGUCAUCUCUGAGCAGAUAGCAAUUAAACUGGUCUUCUCAGCUCAUGCUCUUCGCUACAUGAUGAUACUUCACAACGAGGAUAAUGCAUAUAGUCUAUGAACUUGGGCUGGUGGUAUCAGAACAGCUUGUUAGGAAAUCCUAGAAAGGCAUCUGAGCCAGGGACUUUCUCCUUCACAGAGCAUUCUCUUCAUGGAAGGAUGAUGAAGUAAAUCUUAUGUCAGGGAGCCACCUGAAGAAGUCACAUGAGAACUCAGCUAUUGUCACUCUGCGUGUGUAGCUCUGUUUUUCUCAGUCUCUGCUUUUACCAUGAGGCUUUCUACAAAUAUCCUGGUUGCACUAUACCGUAUGGGGCAUUACCAAGGAAGCACAUGCUCUCACUAUCAAUUUUAUGGAAUAGGGCAAAUUCUUACCAUCAUCUAAAUUCAGGGAACAUUUAGCCUUACAGAGCUGGGUCGAGAAAAAUACACACAUAUUCUCUAUUUUAAUAGCUUCUAUUCAUGACAGUGUAGUGAUUACUGGUGGCUUUGGUACCAGACAGAGCCUGGGUUUGAAUUACAAUUCCAGCACUUACUAGAUACGGGUUCUUGGACAAAUGACUUCACCUCCCUCAGUCUCAGU